Molecule: ribosomal RNA, 431 nt
Filed under: Trachycladus digitatus
Lineage: Eukaryota; Metazoa; Porifera; Demospongiae; Trachycladida; Trachycladidae
Description: eukaryotic LSU rRNA
Source: RNAcentral
CCUGAAAAGAACUUUGGAGAGAGAGUCAAAAAGACCGCGAAACCGUUAGGAGGGAAACGAAUGCAGCUAAAGUAGUUCUCUUUCAGGUUCAGGAGAUGUUGGUCUGUUAUGCUGGGUGGUGGAAGCUCACGCGCCACCGCUUGGAUGUGCGGCCGAUUCCUCUGCACUCCUGUGGAGAGCUGGCCAACAACAGUCGUUCCUUGCUCAUAAGGGCGGUUGGGUAGGUAGCUCCUCAGUUUCUGGGGAGAACUUAUAGCCAUUGUUCCGGUAGUCUGGGAGCGACUGAGGAGAGUUGUGAAAUCACACGUGCAGUGUAGGCCCGUCUGGGCCGGGUCGCCUCUGUUCGUUUAGGCACCGCUCUGGGGACUGCGUGCAGUGUCCAGUGACGAAUGUCUGCUCGGGUGGGGGAUUGGCCACGCCUGCACUGCAGU